UACAGAGGGGGCAAGCGUUGUUCGGAAUUACUGGGCGUAAAGGGCGCGUAGGCGGCCUUCUAAGUCGAACGUGAAAUCCCUGGGCUCAACCCAGGAACUGCGUCCGAUACUGGAAGGCUUGAAUCCGGGAGAGGGAUGCGGAAUUCCAGGUGUAGCGGUGAAAUGCGUAGAUAUCCGGAGGAACACCGGUGGCGAAGGCGGCUCUCUGGGACGGUACUGACGCUGAGACGCGAAAGCGUGGGGAGCGAACAGG
Molecule: ribosomal RNA, 253 nt
Filed under: uncultured bacterium
Lineage: Bacteria
Description: partial 16S ribosomal RNA
Rfam family: Bacterial small subunit ribosomal RNA
Source: RNAcentral